This 1079-nucleotide long non-coding RNA is filed under the name Homo sapiens (human). RNAcentral describes it as "HSALNT0067642". Lineage: Eukaryota; Metazoa; Chordata; Mammalia; Primates; Hominidae. The record is from RNAcentral.
CUCAUUCGAUACCUGAAGGACAGGAGUUUCAUGGAAGUGCUGAUCCAUUGUUAUCUUGCUUUGGAUGUUGAUGUUCAGAAGUCUGAAACUUUUUUUGCUUUGUGACUCUUUCUUUUUGCUGAGUAUCUAAGGCAAUUAAUCCUACACAUCUAAGCUACCACCAACACUUUCAUAUACAAAAACCUGCCAUUCUUGUUGGCAUCAUUUUCUGACCCACAGUUCCCUAAUGUGCAUAUACUUCCUAUCUUCUUGUUUUCCAACCUUGACCUGACUACUGGUUUUCAGUAACUCCGGGGAUUUAACCUGAUUUCAUCUUGGUCGACCCGACUACUGGUUUUCAGUAACUCCGGGGAUUUCACCUGAUUUCAUCUUGGUCGACCCGACUACUGGUUUUCAGUAACUCCGGGGAUGUAACCUGAUUUCAUCUUGGUCGACCCGACUACUGGUUUUCAGUAACUCCGGGGAUGUAACCUGAUUUCGUCUUGGUCGACCCGACUACUGGUUUUCAGUAACUCCGGGGAUUUAACCUGAUUUCGUCUUGGUCGACCCGACUACUGGUUUUCAGUAACUCCGGGGAUUUAACUUGGUUUCUUCUUGGUCGACCCGACUACUGGUUUUCAGUAACUCCGGGGAUUUAACUUGGUUUCUUCUUGGUCGACCCGACUACUGGUUUUCAGUAACUCCGGGGAUUUAACUUGGUUUCUUCUUGGUCGACCCGACUACUGGUUUUCAGUAACUCCGGGGAUUUAACUUGGUUUCUUCUUGGUCGACCCGACUACUGGUUUUCAGUAACUCCGGGGAUUUAACUUGGUUUCGUCUUGGUCGACCCGACUACUAGUUUUCAGUAACUCUGCGGAUUUAACCUGGUUUCAUCUUGGUCGACCCGACUACUGGUUUUCAGUAACUCUGGGGAUUUCACCUGGUUUCAUCUUGGUCGACCCGACUACUGGUUUUCAGUAACUCUGGGGAUUUCACCUGGUUUCAUCUUGGUCGACCCGACUACUGGUUUUCAGUAACUCUGGGGAUUUAACCUGGUUUCAUCUUGGUCGACCCGACUACUGGUUUUCAGUAACUCUGGG